Molecule: long non-coding RNA, 978 nt
Organism: Vitis vinifera (wine grape)
Lineage: Eukaryota; Viridiplantae; Streptophyta; Magnoliopsida; Vitales; Vitaceae
Exons: 5
Source: RefSeq, a predicted model, not a curated record
AAUACCAACCGCAAUAUAUAAGCAAAAAAUUUGGGGUUUCUUCGUCGGAGGCCGCUAUCGAUCCUCUCCGUUCUCUAGUCGUCUUCUCUCAUCACAGGCAUUUGCAAGGAGCAAAACCCAUUACUUUGUGAACAAGGGUUUCUUUCCUUCAAAUUCAUUCCUGUUGGAUAAUAUUGAAAAGAUCAGGUGUAUUAAUUUAAUAAUUGUACAGUUUCAGGAAAUGGACUUAUGAGGAGUUGAACUUGUCUCCUAGUUUAUUAUUUUGCUUCGGUCUUUUUGAAUGGCUUGAAGUCUGCUUAAAAGGAGUUGAUGGCUUCAAAGUUGCAGCAGUUGCAAUCCAAGGCUGCUCAAGCAUCACAGUUCGUGGUAAAGCAUGGAUGUGCAUACCACAAGCAGUUGUUAGAGCAGAACAAGCAAUAUGUGCAGGAGCCACCAACUGUGGAGAAAUGCAAUUUGUUGGCAAAGCAACUAUUCUACACUCGCCUUGCUAGUAUCCCUGGUCGUUAUGAAUCUUUCUGGAAGGAGCUUGAUUAUGUCAAGCACAUGUGGAAGAACAGGCAGGAACUUAAGGUCGAGGAUGCUGGUAUUGCUGCCUUGUUUGGGCUGGAGUGCUAUGCAUGGUUCUGUGCUGGUGAGAUUGUAGGAAGGGGAUUUACAUUCACUGGUUACUACGUCUGAAAACAACCAUUUGGUUAGAAGAGUUUGAGGGUGUUGAAUUUGUAAGCCUCUCUUGUCAUCUGGUUGGUUUCAAUCACUUUCCUACAUGCCAAUUUUUGUAUUUCUGCAAAAAAUUUUAAGCUGAGGAAUCAGUAAGUUUGAUAGCACCAAUAAUCCAUGUACUUGCAUUUGUGUGAAGUGGCUUAUAUGGAAGAGCCUUCAAGUGUUCUGUUAAUUCCAUUGGAUGUCGUGCUCUUCAAUGCAGACACGUUAAUGCAAAAACAUAAUGGCAGUCGAGCUUUUAAUGUGGUUGACCGAUCA